This 391-nucleotide ribosomal RNA is filed under the name Chlamydomonas sp. MACC 335. RNAcentral describes it as "SSU rRNA". It matches the Rfam family "Eukaryotic small subunit ribosomal RNA", at positions 606 to 1006 of the family's 1831-position model. Lineage: Eukaryota; Viridiplantae; Chlorophyta; Chlorophyceae; Chlamydomonadales; Chlamydomonadaceae. The record is from RNAcentral.
AAUAGCUGCUGCAGUUAAAGCUCGUAGUUGGAUUUCGGGUGGGGUGGUGCGGUCCGCCUCUGGUGUGCACUGCUCCGCUCCACCUUCCUGCCGGGGACGGGCUCCUGGGCUUCACUGUCUGGGACUCGGAGUCGGCGAGGUUACUUUGAGUAAAUUAGAGUGUUCAAAGCAGGCCUACGCUCUGAAUACAUUAGCAUGGAAUAACACGAUAGGACUCUGGCCUAUCUGUUGGUCUGUGGGACCGGAGUAAUGAUUAAGAGGGGUAGUCGGGGGCAUUCGUAUUCCGUUGUCAGAGGUGAAAUUCUUGGAUUUACGGAAGACGAACAUCUGCGAAAGCAUUUGCCAAGGAUACUUUCAUUGAUCAAGAACGAAAGUUGGGGGCUCGAAGAAA